Non-coding RNA from Anolis sagrei ordinatus, 4099 nucleotides. Lineage: Eukaryota; Metazoa; Chordata; Lepidosauria; Squamata; Anolidae. The record is from RefSeq and is a predicted model, not a curated record.
CGAGAUCCUGGCUACGGGCCUGGCUACAACCAUUGUUUGGAGGACUGUUUUCCUGUGUACUGGUAGUAGACAGAGGGUUGUCUACAGGCCCCAGGCACAGGAGACAAAAGUGGCAUUUGGGGUUUCACCUUAAGCAUCUUUUAGGUGGACUGUGAAAUACAGGUCUGUUAACAUAUGCAGAGGGCAGCUGCAUAAGUGACUGAACUGUCACACGAUGCUGAAUCAACUUGCUUGCUUUCUUAAUUUCCCACUGAGUAUCACUCAGUUUUUAUAGCAAGGAGGUGACAUCUGUUAUCUGAAGGAAGUCAUUGGGAACGUUUUGGCAAUGUGCGAAUGGCUGCCUCCUCCACUCAGCUCGCUUUCCUUCAAUUUCAAGCCCUUUCAAAGUGGUCAUCUCUGUAUUGGUACCCCAGAUGGGGAUUUACCAUAAAGAAAGAGGGUAAAUGUCUUUAAAGACUAUGAUAUGCAUUUACAUUUACAAAAUGCAUUUUAUAUUUUCUCCCCCAGGUUUUACUUGGUGCAUUGUGUGUAGGCGAGAGCCCUUCUGUGAAUUUUGAAAAAAAAAAGAAGUUAUUUUUGUCACUGGAAAAUGAGCCCUGUUAAGACUUGUCAGCACUUGGAUGAGCUGUGUGAGGGUCUUUUUCUUUCUUUCUUUUGAAAAAAAUGAAAUAACAUUCGUUUAAAAUCUGUCACUAGAAGUUGUGACAGUUGGCAACUCUUAUACUGUGUACCUUUUGGUGGUACUUUUGAGAUCUGCGUGUGUUUUUACGCAAAACAUGGAUUUGCAGUGUUACUUCUGUUUUUACCACAGCAAUGGCUUCCCAUUUCUUUGGGCCUGCAGGAAGGGGACAUUGCAAAUGGGAAAGAGAACAACUUCUGCCUGGUUAUAUUUUUGCUGGAGAAAUGCCAAGAUAUAAGAAGACAAUUUACUUGUUCUGCUGAUUCUCUGUGAGCUAAUGUAUAUUUGUAAGAGCUCUUUAAUGUGUCAGCAAGCCCAGCCGCAAAAUGUCCCAUGGUGGGCUCUGGGCAAUGAGCAGUGUCAAAUCAAGCAACAUGGUUUUGGCAUGAAAGGGAACAAGCAGAAUGACAGGAGUUCCUGCAGCUGUCUCUCCUUGGCUGGGCCACUGCAUUUGAUAGUCCCCACUAAGCCCCAGCUUGGACUUGCUGCCGUGGCCAUCACUGUAGCAAGCUUGGAAAGCUGUGAAUACUUGGAGAGCAUAUGAAAUCGCCUCAGGGAAGCGUCUGUGAAAGCUGUUGAUUUCCCUUUGCUCAGUAUGUCAAUCCAUAAAGAGCACAGCAAGAGAGAAAAAGCAAUUAGGUUCAAGAAAGCAUUGUGAAAAUAUAGAUUUUCAAAGUAAAACAGCCAGCCCUUCUUGACUCCGCAGAACAAUAAUCCAGGAUGAGCUGCAAAUGUAAUCCCUCUUGUUCUGGGCAAUUCUGUGCAGUUGUUUUCCUGGAAUUUUUAGCACCAGCAGCAACACUGUGCCUUUCCAUUGGAUUCAACAUCAUUUGAUCCUCCCUACUUUUGCCUCCCAUUGUGAUGUUGUUUGGGACAUAAGGAAAACAAUAACAAGGCACUGCACAGUUGUUUGCUAAAUGUUAUGAUGCUGUAUGAGAGAUUGAUUUCCCUUUUGUACUAAUGUGCUCCAUACUCCUCCUCUAGUUUAUCUGAUGAUUUUCCAUUCAUCUCCCAAAUGUUUGGUUUUCAACAUUUGGUGUUUCCUUGCACUUCUGUGGCAUAGACAUGGGUUGAUUGGAAAGAAUUUAAGAAGAGGUCUAACUUCACUCUCUUGCAUACCAAAUCAAAAGAAUGUUACAUCUUCAGACUUCAAGCUGAAAAUACAUUGGGUGGGAGGCACCAACAAGCUGGCUGCAGAUUCACAACAGAAAUUGCAUAUUAGCCAACGAUAAUGCAGUUUCCCCUCCACAUUUGUGGUUUUGACUUUUGCAAAAUUGAUCAUUCACAUAUUUUAUUUAAAAUGUUAUUUCUAUGAAUGUCUAUGAAUUCACAGGUCCUCCAAAGUGCCUGUACUGUCCACUCCCCCAAUCAAGCUGGAGGAGCUAGAUAACUCUCUAGAUAUCUCUAGGUCUUCCAAUGCAAUUAUAUGGUCAGCUUCCAGUGGAAGUUGGUCAUAGUAAUGCUGGAAGACCUGUGUAAAAAGAGCAAUUUCAUUGUGCUUUUAAACUUUCACUGGGGCCUCAAACCACAGCAGAUUUGGAAGGUUGACUGUAUUUUCCUCCAAGUAUUUGCUGUGUUGCAGGGUUGGGACAAGACAUUUUGCUGCUUGAGUGAAGGUUGUAAUUGUGCUCCUUCCCCACUUUACACACACAAGCCAAUUGAACUAGCAGCUUCUAACACUAGCAGCAAUGGUUUUGAGAUAGGUCAGUGUACAGAUGCUAGCCAAUUGUACAGGUGCAAACCCAACAAUAGACAGGGCAUAGGGAUUUUUUACUUUAAAGAUCCCACUGUCACCAAUUGUAGAAGUCUCGAGCCAAUUUGUAGAGGGCUGCCACCAAUUGUACAGGUGCACGCACCUGUUUUACAGGUAUGGAUGAUUAUAGAGGGAAUUAAUCUCAGGCCUCUAUUGUUGAUAAGAAUUUGUUAUAGAGGAGGCCAAUUAUUGUUUGUAAAUUAAGGUAACUGCCACCAACGUGAGGUAUUUAAGGUAUCACUGAUGAGAUCUGGCUCUACAAAUGCAGAUUAAUGGAGAUGAGACGGUCUUCAACAAAAGUUAACAAGUUUAUUGAGUACAAAGCUUAUGGUUGCAGGCUGUUAAAUAACUUAUAGAACUUUGAAUAUAACUUGGUUAGUAAUAUAGUCCUUUUCUAGAUGAAACAGCUCGUGAUUACAUCUUACUGAGGCGAAGCACUUUGGUGAACAAUGUUUCCUAAUAUGAAUAGCCUUCUCAUUUGAUCUUUCCUUGAUCAAAUAUCUGAUCUCUAAUCCUUUCUCGACUAGCGAUCUUACAAGCUUCCUUUAGUCUACUUUAACUAAAGAAACUGGUUAGGUUUCUCCCUUCUGCCCUCCUAGACUGAAAAACUUCUAGCUAUCCACACACACCUCUCUCCCAGGCUUUUCAAGCCUCCACUCUCACACAUUGACUGACUCCAACUCUCUCAGACUCACACUGCCCCUUUUCCAAAGACGCAGAUAACUUCUCCUCCUUGGCUCCGCCCACUUCUCACUCUCUGAGCUAGCCUGCCUGGUUUCCUUGGCAACGCUCCCUGUUGGUUCAAACUAGAUAACUCUAGUCUUAGCUACUGUUAUAAACAUAAACAUACACUCUAACAGUUAAACAUAUACAUAGUAUCAAUGACGUCUGCACAGUCAGUUUGUAUAGGGAGGGGAUAGGGUGGAUCACAUGACUCAUGUGGUCUCUCUACCAAUCGUGGGCACAGUUUCCUGGAAACCUUAGGAGAACUAGCCAGUGGUUGAUUCAAGUAGGGCCUGUAGCUACUGCCUUCUUCUGUUUAAUGAUACAACCGGCCCUGGCAUGCUGCAGGAGUUGACUCCAAAUGUUGUAAAUUCCUCCACAUAAAACAACUUCCAGAUAGAGGGAUUAUUAGAAUAGGACAAUGGAGUUUCAGAUGAACAAAUGUGCCUAAGAGGUUCUAUCAUCAUUGUUUUUGAAUCCUCCUAAAAACUGAAUGGGUUUGGUUUCCUAGACAAGAAGCUAUCUAGCUUUACCCUGUUCCAUCUAGCUCAAAAUUAUCUACCACACAAACUGGCAGCAGUUCUCUGAGGUUUUAGACAUAGAUCCUCAGAUACCGUACAUGGGACCUUCAGCACACAAAGUUAUAGUCUCUCUUCAAAAAUUAAAAUAUAUUUUUUCCUAACCCCAUACCCCUACAAAAUAGAGCUGAGGAUAACCGAACUGUUUGCAGCUUCACAAUAGAAGACAAAGAAUAUAUAAGAGAAAACGAAUUGUUCUUAAAACUCCUUGCUGUUUAGGUAUAUCUAAAUCUAUCUGGGAACUAGCUGGUCCUUUCAGUUGUGAUUGUUUGUGCCUCUAAUAUCAAAAUAACUGUGACUGAAAUCUGAAAUGUAUCUUGCAUCUGAAUAAUCAUAUGUGGCAAUAAAUGUAAUUUUCAAAAUGAA